AGUGAACGCUGGCGGUAGGCCUAACACAUGCAAGUCGAACGGCAGCACAGUAAGAGCUUGCUCUUACGGGUGGCGAGUGGCGGACGGGUGAGGAAUACAUCGGAAUCUACUUUUUCGUGGGGGAUAACGUAGGGAAACUUACGCUAAUACCGCAUACGACCUACGGGUGAAAGCAGGGGAUCUUCGGACCUUGCGCGAUUGAAUGAGCCGAUGUCGGAUUAGCUAGUUGGCGGGGUAAAGGCCCACCAAGGCGACGAUCCGUAGCUGGUCUGAGAGGAUGAUCGGCGACACUGGAACUGAGACACGGUCCAGACUCCUACGGGAGGCAGCAGUGGGGAAUAUUGGACAAUGGGCACAAGCCUGAUCCAGCCAUACCGCGUGGGUGAAGAAGGCCUUCGGGUUGUAAAGCCCUUUUGUUGGGAAAGAAAAGCAGCAGGUUAAUACCCCGCUGUUCUGACGGUACCCAAAGAAUAGGCACCGGCUAACUUCGUG
This 492-nucleotide ribosomal RNA is filed under the name uncultured bacterium. Its description in RNAcentral is "partial 16S ribosomal RNA". It matches the Rfam family "Bacterial small subunit ribosomal RNA", at positions 29 to 507 of the family's 1533-position model. The record is from RNAcentral.